GGGUUGUGAGGUUAAGCGACUAAGCGUACACGGUGGAUGCCCUGGCAGUCAGAGGCGAUGAAGGGCGUGCUAAUCUGCGAUAAGCGCCGGUAAGGUGAUAUGAACCGUUAUAACCGGCGAUACCCGAAUGGGGAAACCCAGUGUGAUUCGUCACACUAUCAUUAACUGAAUCCAUAGGUUAAUGAGGCGAACCGGGGGAACUGAAACAUCUAAGUACCCCGAGGAAAAGAAAUCAACCGAGAUUCCCCCAGUAGCGGCGAGCGAACGGGGAGGAGCCCAGAGCCUGAAUCAGCAUGUGUGUUAGUGGAAGCGUCUGGAAAGGCGCGCGAUACAGGGUGACAGCCCCGUACACAAAAGCGCAUAUGCUGUGAGCUCGAUGAGUAGGGCGGGACACGUGGUAUCCUGUCUGAAUAUGGGGGGACCAUCCUCCAAGGCUAAAUACUCCUGACUGACCGAUAGUGAACCAGUACCGUGAGGGAAAGGCGAAAAGAACCCCGGCGAGGGGAGUGAAAAAGAACCUGAAACCGUGUACGUACAAGCAGUGGGAGCCCCACCACUAAGCCAGUGGUGAACUCCACAUACGCAUCCUUUGCUGAGGAGACGGUUAACGGAGCGAAAGCGACGUUCAACCUCAAAAGAAGCAGAGGGGGCUUAGUGGUGGGGUGACUGCGUACCUUUUGUAUAAUGGGUCAGCGACUUAUAUUCUGUAGCAAGGUUAACUGUAUAGGGGAGCCGGAGGGAAACCGAGUCUUAACCGGGCGUUAAGUUGCAGGGUAUAGACCCGAAACCCGGUGAUCUAGCCAUGGGCAGGUUGAAGGUUGGGUAACACUAACUGGAGGACCGAACCGACUAAUGUUGAAAAAUUAGCGGAUGACCUGUGGCUGGGGGUGAAAGGCCAAUCAAACCGGGAGAUAGCUGGUUCUCCCCGAAAGCUAUUUAGGUAGCGCCUCGUGAAUUCAUCUCCGGGGGUAGAGCACUGUUUCGGCUAGGGGGCCAUCCCGGCUUACCAACCCGAUGCAAACUGCGAAUACCGGAGAAUGUUAUCACGGGAGACACACGGCGGGUGCUAAUGUCCGUCGUGAAGAGGGAAACAACCCAGACCGCCAGCUAAGGUCCCAAAGUCAUGGUUAAGUGGGAAACGAUGUGGGAAGGCCCAGACAGCCAGGAUGUUGGCUUAGAAGCAGCCAUCAUUUAAAGAAAGCGUAAUAGCUCACUGGUCGAGUCGGCCUGCGCGGAAGAUGUAA
RNAcentral lists this ribosomal RNA (1244 nucleotides) under Salmonella enterica. RNAcentral's name for it is "partial 23S ribosomal RNA". It matches the Rfam family "Bacterial large subunit ribosomal RNA", at positions 1 to 1175 of the family's 2925-position model. Lineage: Bacteria; Pseudomonadati; Pseudomonadota; Gammaproteobacteria; Enterobacterales; Enterobacteriaceae. The record is from RNAcentral.